UCUUCCAGCCACCUUGUACCCAUUUCAAGCCCAAGGGCUCUUUAAUGAAAAUGAGUUACUGAGCAGUUUUUUCUCCAGGGAAAAUGGCUUUUCAUGACAGUUUGAGUAUUGCACAUGAAGCAUCUAGCAAAGCCUCAAGCACACAAAAAGAACAGAGAAAGAUCCAGUGCAAAAACUCAUAGGAAAUGAUCAAUUCAUGCCAAGUGAUGAGAACUAGAGAAGAGAGAUGAGAGCAUUGUUCAUACACAAUGGUCUAGGUCUCCUACCCCAAGAGAACUUGCAACAAAGCCCAAAGUACAACAGUCACGUUUAAAGAGAAGAUUCCGUUUCAGCCAGACAAGAUGAUUCAUGAUAUUUAUUUAAUAUUGUUAACUUGAAUUUUAUUAGAUCUGUAGUGAUGUUUGUAUUGAUUUCUAAUUUGUUUUGGUUUCAUAAUUGACUAAAACAAUAAGCACAAACAGUUUCUAUCUGACUCUAUGUUUAUAUAUUCACAUUUUAAUAAAAGUCUUUUAUAUACUCA
This 520-nucleotide long non-coding RNA is filed under the name Pongo abelii (Sumatran orangutan). Its description in RNAcentral is "lincRNA". The record is from RNAcentral. Lineage: Eukaryota; Metazoa; Chordata; Mammalia; Primates; Hominidae.